This 303-nucleotide ribosomal RNA is filed under the name Dikerogammarus haemobaphes. RNAcentral describes it as "partial 16S ribosomal RNA". The record is from RNAcentral. Lineage: Eukaryota; Metazoa; Arthropoda; Malacostraca; Amphipoda; Gammaridae.
CGGUAUUUUGACCGUGCUAAGGUAGCAUAAUCAAUUGUUUUUUAAUUGAAAACUAGUAUGAACGGUUUAAUUUACUUAAUUAGUUUGUAAUUUUUAAUAGUAAGUUAAAUAUAAAGUAAGAAUUCUUUAAUAAAUUAGGGGACGAUAAGACCCUAAAAGCUUUAUGACUGGCAUUUAAUUGGUGAUAGCGGUGUUAUUAAUUCACUGGGGCAGUGAGUUUAGGUAUAUUUAAGUAUAAUUAAAAGCUCCUUUAAAUAAAGAUUUCAUGUAUAAGUUACUUUAGGGAUAACAGUGCAAUAUAUU